RNAcentral lists this unclassified non-coding RNA (329 nucleotides) under soil metagenome. Its description in RNAcentral is "partial contains 5.8S ribosomal RNA, internal transcribed spacer 2, and large subunit ribosomal RNA". The stretch from base 1 to 120 matches the Rfam family "5.8S ribosomal RNA", at positions 35 to 154 of the family's 154-position model. The record is from RNAcentral.
GAUGAAGAACGCAGCGAAAUGCGAUAAGUAAUGUGAAUUGCAGAAUUCAGUGAAUCAUCGAAUCUUUGAACGCACAUUGCGCCCCUUGGUAUUCCGAGGGGCAUGCCUGUUCGAGCGUCAUUAUAACCCCUCAAGCUCAGCUUGGUGUUGGGGCCUGCUGCACUGGCAGCCCUUAAAAUCAGUGGCGGCGCCAUCUGGCUCUAAGCGUAGUAAUUCUUCUCGCUAUGGAGUCCUGGAGGAUGCUUGCCAUCAACCCCCAAUUUUUCUAUGGUUGACCUCGGAUCAGGUAGGGAUACCCGCUGAACUUAAGCAUAUCAAUAAGCGGAGGA